RNAcentral lists this long non-coding RNA (3010 nucleotides) under Nicotiana tabacum (common tobacco). Its description in RNAcentral is "long non-coding RNA (NTAB_LNC004268)". Lineage: Eukaryota; Viridiplantae; Streptophyta; Magnoliopsida; Solanales; Solanaceae. The record is from RNAcentral.
UAACAGCCAACAUGCAUUCUUCUAUUAUAAACGUAUACAACCCCCUUAAACACUAAUCAUUCUAUCCAUCACACCAGUCGCCCUUACUCCUUUUCUCUCAUCUCUCUCGUCCUCUCACACCUCUAUAAGCCUCUGAAAAUAUAGCACUAAUUUGUGCAAGGUCACUCUUACACUAUUGUGAGACCUCAUUCAUCACUCAAUGGCCUAGAAUUUUGCCAAAACAAUUCCUCUUUCUAUCAUCUCCCUUCAUAUCCCAAAUUCUGAAACCCUGGCCCCAAAAAUGGAAGUCUAGAAUCUUAUCAUCACAUCCCCUAAUGAAAUUAUCAGGCCUUCUUUACCAUAUUCCCUCAUUUGAAUCCUCCAUUAAAGCCUUGAAUGCACCUCCAAUUAGAAUCAUAUUCGUAGGAAUCUCCAACCUCAGCAUGACCUCUGAGGAUCUAGAGGUCAAAUACAAGAACCUCUAGGUAAAAGUUGUAUCCGGAUGACAAAAAGGCUUCAACAUCUAGUUCUUCAUCAAUUUGAGAGGGAAAAAUCUCCACCGUUUCCCUCUAAUUUUUUGUUCCUCUGGUUUCUUUAUGUAUAUCGUCAAUGUUUCGUCAUUGUUUCUUGUCUUCUAUUUUUUGAAUCAGAAAAUUCAAAAUCUCAAACUCUAAAACCUCAAUUAUUUGGCUAUAAAUACCGGACUUUAAUGCCCUUGCCAACCACGAAUCAAUAGAGUAAAUGCACUUGAAUAAAGAGUAUUAAAAUAUCUAUCGAUUUACUCACGGUCUUUUCUUCUUUACUUUCAUUCAUUACUAAUCAAGUUUAUUUGUUCCUGAGCCGCCUCCGAGUACAAAUUCUUAAAGGCUAAAGUUAAAAACUUGGUUUUCUGCCAUAAGGAAGGUCAAUGUGUUUUCAUUCUAUUUUGUUUCAAUGUCUGAAUUGUGUGCAUAUUAAAUGAGUCUGAAGAACCUCAUGUUUGAUUGAAAUAAUGUAUAUUAACUAAUCUUGCAUGUUAACAGUUUAUUUCAUCAGCUAUGUUUGGUUGUAAAAGCAUGUUGUAGAUUUUGUCUGUUUUGCAUGUUAGAUAUCCUAGUUUUAAACAAUGCAUGCUUGUUAGUUUGAACUACUGCUGAUCUAAGUUGUUUGUUUCUCUGUUAGCUUUAACUACAAGUGCCACUCUCAAUUACCAUGAUACUGCCUUAUUGUUAUAUAUACCAUGCCCAUAAGGUUUUACUUGUUUAAAAUUAAAGAUAAUGUGAUCAUCUCAUCCUGCUUGAUAUCUUUUAUUCUUCUCUGUUAGCAUGACUCUUGUGAAAUUAAUUCUAAGCCUGCACGCAUUUAGUUUUGACUAUUGAACAUCUUGUGAAGCCUGAACAUGAGUCAUUCUUCCUGAUCAAUGUGUUUGGAUAUUUUGAGUGACUAUCUUAGCUUGAACCUAGAUUCACCUAGUCUCUAGUUCUUUUUCUAAUGAGUUGAUCACUAAAUGUGAAGACCAUGUAUAUAUAAUGAGAGUUGUUAUGUUGAUUCAUUUGUCUUGACCUUAACAGAAUAUCUGGCUACUAUUGGACUUUAAUGAAUGAAAGCCUGGUUAUGUAUUUACUGAUUAAGGAAGAAACCUCCAACUGGAGCCUUUGUAUAAUGAUUCUGUUUAAGUGUGUGAUAAAUUGGCUUAGAUUGGUGUUCACAUUCAUGUGUAGUAAGAAUGUCUAUAGGGAUAAGUUAUAUGAUGAAUUACUUGUGAAAGUCACAAUUGCUCAGUCAUGUUUUUGAAGAAGAAAUUAUUUGUGUAUGAAUGGUUGUUGAUCAGAUUCUGGAUUCUAGGAUUCAUUAAAGAAUUCCUGAGGUCCACGUGGCUAUAUAUGAUAUACUGUUCUAUAUGAUGUGCCUUUAAUAGUUAUUAGUUUACUCAGAAUAGAAAUCGGAAUCAUGUCUAGCAUUCUGUUGGUUUAUGUCAUAUUGCCUAAAUUAGUGCUUCAAUCAUAAGUAAUGUUGUAUUGACAUGAUCUAGUAUAUCACCAUGAGUUGUCUGUGUUUUUCUUAAUUGAAUUUCUUCGAAUGUUAUCAUGAUAAUAUGAUUUGAGCCACUAUCUUGGACUCUCUCUGCCAAACAACUUACUAGUGAUAAAUGUUUGAGUUCACUUGACCGGUUUGUUGUUAGGCCUAAGUCAACCAUAUUUUUGACCAAACCUCUAUAGAGGAACAAAUACUAAUAGUUGUUGGUGUUUGCAGUGGAGCUAACAUCAUCACAAGGGUCCUUCCCUGGUACAAGCACUGCUCGAGACCCUAGACCCUUCAGACCAUGUGAACUCUAAAGUGCCAGGAGGGUCAAAUGAAAUCCUUCUGAGAGGGGUAUGGACCACUCUAGUCAAUGGCUAUGGACUUUAAUUAAUCUUUCGAGGAUUAUCAUAAAUAAAAUUUGACUGCCUUUAUUUGUUACAACUAUGUUUAUUUCUUAUAUUUUUGCCUUUACCUUUAUGUGCAAAUGCUAAUUAAAUUUCCCUUCUUCUUUUGCAUGAGUACGUUGAGCUAGUAAAGUUCACUGUGAACUCUUUCCCAAGUUCAACAAAACUAGGCCGCCAUUCUCCUCGUUGCAUUGCUAUCGCUGAAGCCUGUUGCUGAUUGAUUUAAAUAGGCCUGAUGCUUGUCGGUCCAUUAUAAGAGUCUAGUUCCUCCCCUCCCUUUACUUUAUAUCAUGCCGAUGUUAGCCCAUUUAUGUAUAUAUUAUAUUAUGAAACUAACACUGCUAUUAUAUGUUCUUAUCUUUACUAUGAUUGUUUUAGAAAAUGAUCUUAGUAUAAGCUAAUCCUGUAGGGAAAGGGUAGACGUAAUUAAGAUAGUUUUUCCACUUUAUAAGGCUAACAAUCUUCAAAACCUGACUAUGUAUCAACUGUUUUAUCAAGUAUGUUUUAUUUUACUACUUGUUUUCCUCUAAUGAUUUUGGCAGAAGCAUUUGCAGAAUUGAAUCAAGAUAAGCUUAAAUAAUCUUUUAAAAGAAUCUUCCAUCGAUCACUUAGGCAAACUCGAAAAC